RNAcentral lists this long non-coding RNA (298 nucleotides) under Carica papaya (papaya). RNAcentral's name for it is "long non-coding RNA (CPAP_LNC013127)". Lineage: Eukaryota; Viridiplantae; Streptophyta; Magnoliopsida; Brassicales; Caricaceae. The record is from RNAcentral.
CCCACAGGCUAGCUCCUGUGCGUCUGGGGCUUGUGCGCAUGGUAAGAGGGUCGUGUACCUAUAGGUUAGCAUGCAGGGCCACUGCCACCUCGGAUAGUGCGCCACCAUCACCUUGGGUGGGGCACCACCGCCGCAGUCACCUGGGGCGGUGCACCGCCACCGUCGACGGAGGAGACUCUUCUCCCUUAUUUUUUGUGUUAAGCAUUUUUUUUCCUCCCUCUCUUCACUGGAUUUUGCCACUUGGUGUGAAUCGAUGAUUCCUAAUUAUCUAUUAGUAGGGUCUUUCUUUCCCAUUCUU